Molecule: ribosomal RNA, 486 nt
Filed under: uncultured bacterium
Lineage: Bacteria
Description: partial 16S ribosomal RNA
Rfam family: Bacterial small subunit ribosomal RNA
Source: RNAcentral
AUUGAACGCUGGCGGCAUGCCUUACACAUGCAAGUCGAACGGCAGCACGGGUGCUUGCACCUGGUGGCGAGUGGCGAACGGUUGAGUAAUACAUCGGAACAUGUCCUGUAGUGGGGGAUAGCCCGGCGAAAGCCGGAUUAAUACCGCAUACGAUCCACGGAUGAAAGCGGGGGACCUUCGGGCCUCGCGCUAUAGGGUUGGCCGAUGGCUGAUUAGCUAGUUGGUGGGGUAAAGGCCUACCAAGGCGACGAUCAGUAGCUGGUCUGAGGGGACGACCAGCCACACUGGGACUGAGACACGGCCCAGACUCCUACGGGAGGCAGCAGUGGGGAAUUUUGGACAAUGGGCGAAAGCCUGAUCCAGCAAUGCCGCGUGUGUGAAGAAGGCCUCCGGGUUGUAAAGCACUUUUGUCCGGAAAGAAAUCCUUGACUCUAAUACAGUCGGGGGAUGACGGUACCGGAAGAAUAAGCACCGGCUAACUACGUG